This is a long non-coding RNA of Gossypium arboreum, 725 nucleotides long. RefSeq lists it as uncharacterized. The record is from RefSeq and is a predicted model, not a curated record. The transcript has 3 exons. NCBI's taxonomy places the organism in Eukaryota, Viridiplantae, Streptophyta, Magnoliopsida, Malvales, Malvaceae.
AAAUAGAAGGCUAAACUAUUUAGAAGGAAACAAUUAUGUAUUUGGACUUCAAAACUUACCUCUUUACACUUAGAGCAGAAUAUUUAUAUAGAGCUUAGAAGUAACUGCUCUAUAACAAACUUGCUAACAGUCUUAGCUAAACGCUAACAACUUGGAUAACAACUUCAACUAAUGCUCAUAUCCUUAACACUACCUUUCGAAGUUCAGAGAUUCUGCGUCAUCUAGGAUUGGAUCGUGUUAAGAAAUAUAGGCGGGCGGAGCAGUUAGAUAUGGAGAGAGAAGCCGGAAGAGUAUUCAACCGUUUCAAAGAGAAACAGAUACUAUGGCGCGGUUCCGGCAUUGAGCAAUUAUCCUAUAAUCGUGGAGAAUAAAGAUUUUUUUAUCACAGACUUGUUUCUGCUCUCUUUUCUGUUUGAGGUAGGAGUAAAAAAGAAAUACGAUGAGAAAUUCAGGAAAGGUUAUUCCUGCGAUGUAAGAAGAUUCGAGUACGACAAAUGCAUAUCUCGAAGGCAUAGUUUCUAUGAUUACCAACUGAAAUGUUUAAUUUGCUUAUUUUGAUUUAGAUCAUUUAGUUCUUCACUUGUAUUUGUUUUCCUCUAAAAUACAUACAUUAUACAUAUAUAUCUAUUGAUGUAUGGUAGCUUCCUAAUACAACACAGGGGAGAAGUAAUAUUGGCGAAAAAAACAUGAUUAUGAAUAAAACCUGAAAAGCUUUUUUACAUAAA